CUUAGGUACCCAACUUCAGCUGAGUAUUUCAAGUAUAGUGGAGCAACUACUUACUGUACCCACAACAAAUAUCAUCCGAUACCUCAAAUCAGAAAGUUCCCCGGUGAAUUUCAAAUUAUAAAUGAUUUGGAAAAUGAUGCUGUAGCCCUAUUGAAAGCUGGCACUGAUCUGCAUUAAUAUCACAGUACAGAAAUCAGCGAACCAAAAACGUAUAAUGCAGCACUGAUUUGAAUAAUUCUUUUUGGAAUAAGAGAAAUUGGAUAAGAAGGAAAACGAUGCUUCAGAAUUUUCUAUUGGCUCUGUAUUGACUCAAAUUCAGGAGGGUAAGGAACGGGUUAUCGCAAAAGUGAGAAGAAGUGGUCUACUUAUGAUAGGGAGUUGUAUGCUAUUGUUUGGAGUGUCAGGCAUUUUAAGCAUUAUUUGCGUGGUAACCAUUCUUAUUGUUACAGGCCACAAACCCUUGACAGGUUUACAGGGGUUACAUAUAGAAAAUGAUGUAACAGGUCGUCAAACACGAUGGAUUCUUGAUUUGAAUAUGUUCAAUUGGAAGAUUGUGUACAAAUCGGGUAAGACAUAUCUGAAUGCGGAUUCAUUAUCCCGUAGACCCGAUCC
Anneissia japonica is the source of this 612-nucleotide long non-coding RNA. RefSeq lists it as uncharacterized. NCBI's taxonomy places the organism in Eukaryota, Metazoa, Echinodermata, Crinoidea, Comatulida, Comatulidae. The record is from RefSeq and is a predicted model, not a curated record. The transcript has 3 exons.